Molecule: transfer RNA, 73 nt
Filed under: Vicugna pacos (alpaca)
Lineage: Eukaryota; Metazoa; Chordata; Mammalia; Artiodactyla; Camelidae
Description: tRNA-Ala (GGC) (tRNA-Ala-GGC-5-1)
Rfam family: tRNA
About the family: Transfer RNA (tRNA) molecules are approximately 80 nucleotides in length.
Source: RNAcentral
GGAGGGUAUAGCUCAGUGGCAGAGCGCAUGCUUGGCAUGCAUGAGGUCCUGGGUUCAAUCCCCAGUACCUCCA